Molecule: long non-coding RNA, 2491 nt
Organism: Homo sapiens (human)
Lineage: Eukaryota; Metazoa; Chordata; Mammalia; Primates; Hominidae
Source: Ensembl
GGACUCACAAACUAAGUGUGAAAUUAAUUUUAAAAACACAUACAUGCAUUUCUAAGUAACUCUCACAUUGGCCACCCCAUGGAUACCUAUGAUCUUUUUUGUGCUAUAUGACAGAAUCAGUGGACAGCAUGCACCAUGUGGCCGGGAGCAAGGUAAGAGUCCACUUACUCCACCUGUCAUCCUGAGGGUCCUGACACAAGCACAGGCCAAAUAUUCAGUGAUCUGUUUAUUUCUCUCUCCCUCAAUGCCCAUACACAUGAACACACAUAUACACAGCCAGGUGCCCCCAAACUCAGUCUUCCCAUAAAUUCAAAAUCAAACAUGCAUGAUGUCAGAGGACCAAUACUUAAGUAGUAAUGAUUUUUUUUAAUGGGCAGCAGACAGCAGGGAAAUAAGUUUAAAUGUUUAUUUUUGCUGUUUUCCCAAAUUCUUAGACUUUGCAAGUAAUGAUAUCUUUGUAUCUCCAGCCUUCCUGAAGCAACAUAAGGAAAUAGGAACAGAAUGGCUUUACUGGAUUUUUCCCUCAUGUCUUGUGACCCCUGUCCCAAGUUACCUAUUUCUGUCUAUCCUCACAGGGUCUUAAUUCUCUCAAAGAAGUUAGCUCAUAAUAGCUAUUAACUCUUCCAAGCUCUUUGAAUUUUAAUACCCUAAGAUUUAAAAGAUCAAAAGUCAUUCAGUUGAUACUAGAAUGAGAGAUGCUAGGCAGGGACGUCUUUCACAAGCUUUACAAACCAAACCAGCCAGGCCGUUGUCUAAUCUCCUACUAAUGAGAGCUGUAUUAAUGUUGCCCCAGUAUCUUGAAGUUUCCCUAGCGUCCUUUACAUAUUUCUGAUGUAUGAGAAUGACUUGGGGAACAUAUUAACACAUAGAUUCUUAGGAGCUCCUCAACCAGGAAUUCAAAUUUAUUUGUUCUGUUCUGAGGUGGUGCAUAUUUAAUUUAACAAGCUCCAGCCACACUCUGAGAUUCUGAUGCAUGUGGAUUCUGAUCCACCUUUUGAGAAACAUUUUUCUAAAAUCAUGGUUCUCAGCCCCACCUGCACCUUGGAGUCACCUGAGGAGCUUUGAAAAAUAGAGAUACCUGGGUCCUGAAAACCCUCCACCUUAAAUUCCAAUAGCCUUGAUACAGCCUGGAAAUUGGGAAUUUUAAAAGGCCUACAGGUGAUACUAAAGAGCAUAAGGUCAAAUGCCAUACUGCUAGCCAUUCCAGCCAUCUCCUCUCUCCAGCUCUGCAGGAAGCAUAAAAUGAAGACAAUGCAAAGGCCUCUCCCAUAAGCAAGCCUGGGUACAACGAGCCUAAGCCAGUACCAACACCCCAAUCCUCAGCUCGUCAUUAUUUCACCAUGGAGUUCUGGAUCCUAAUCUGCCCAGCUGCCAUGGAUUCCACAGGAGAUUCUUAUCAGGAUGAGAAAAGCAGUGAGCUUUCAGCCUGUCACUCUAUUAUAUACAACCAGAAGCCUGCUCAGGAACGAAGAUUACUCUGGGUAGCAGAAUGAAACUCCAUUAAAAACAGGCUCUACAGAUUGAUUUUAAAGCCACCUACACUGCAGUUUCUUCAAUUUAGCUCUACUUAUCUGAUUAUGCAUCACAAAAGGAAGCAGAAAUUCAGCUUAAUUGUGAAGCCAUUGCAGCAGAACCAAGCAAAUGAUAGAAAACCUCAUGAUCACAGACAGAAUCACACUCACUGAUGCUGAAUGAAAUGACAGACAUCCGUCCCUCUGCAGAAGCCUGAAUACUGAUCACAGAAUUUUACGUUCUGACAUUGUGUGUCUCUUGUCAGAUAGUGUUGUCCUUUACUUUCCCCGCUUCAGUUGUGAAAGUCAGGUGCAGUCUCAUACUAUUUUUUUUUAAAAUUCAUUAUGACAAGUAAAUGGUCUCUGGGAAAGCGAACAUCCUCAUCCACUGUUUACUGAAACUGUAACACUGUCAUGAGUGAAGAAUGAAACAUGUUUAAUGUAAAGAGUUUGCAGAAUGAUGAUCAGAGGAAAAGAACAUUAAACAGAAGAAACAUAAAUAUAAGAAUGGGGAGAGAGAUGUAAUCAAAAGACAGCUUGUAAGGGAGGUUACAUGCUGCCAUUUGCUUUUCAGCUGUGUUUUCCAUAGUGGGACAGAUCUUGCUCUUUGUUACUUCUACUUUUGCUUUUUCCCAUCUGCAAAGAGGGAAACAAUCUGCUUUUGAAUCUCUGGUGAAGCAUCACCUAGAAGCUGCUGCCAAAGCUUGAUAUCCAGAGUGCUCUAAAACAUAGUGUGAUGUGCCCUUUCAUCUUAAAGGAUUAUUUUUGGCUGGGCAGACCUCUCUAAGAUAGAUUAUAAGGAGCUGGCUUUUAAAGGCAAUGAAAACUGCUUCUGUAUUCACAUUUACCCCCUCCCUCCAUUAUCUGAGGUAUGUAAAUAAUGUUUUAAAGUGGUGAUGUGAGAAUAUUAAUUAUGUUUUCAUUUCUUGUUCCUGUUACCAUGUAAUAUAUCUUCAAGUGCUGAGAAAACAUCUUACAAA